AGCGAACGCUGGCGGCAGGCCUAACACAUGCAAGUCGAACGAACCUUUCGGGGUUAGUGGCGGACGGGUGAGUAACCCGUGGGAACGUGCCUUUAGGUUCGGAAUAACUCAGGGAAACUUGUGCUAAUACCGAAUGUGCCCUUCGGGGGAAAGAUUAAUCGCCUUUAGAGCGGCCGGCGUCUGAUUAGCUAGUUGGUUGAGGUAAUGGCUCACCAAGGCGACGAUCAGUAGCUGGUCUGAGAGGAUGAUCAGCCACAUUGGGACUGAGACACGGCCCAAACUCCUACGGGAGGCAGCAGUGGGGAAUCUUGCGCAAUGGGCGAAAGCCUGACGCAGCCAUGCCGCGUGAAUGAUGAAGGUCUUAGGAUUGUAAAAUUCUUUCACCGGGGACGAUAAUGACGGUACCCGGAGAAGAAGCCCCGGCUAACUUCGUG
RNAcentral lists this ribosomal RNA (434 nucleotides) under uncultured bacterium. Its description in RNAcentral is "partial 16S ribosomal RNA". It matches the Rfam family "Bacterial small subunit ribosomal RNA", at positions 29 to 507 of the family's 1533-position model. The record is from RNAcentral.